GGUUUCAUAGUAUAGUGGUUAUCAUGUCUCUUUUAUGUGCAGAAGGUCUUGGGUUCAAUCCCUGGUAAAACCA
This 73-nucleotide transfer RNA is filed under the name Xenopus tropicalis (tropical clawed frog). RNAcentral describes it as "Xenopus (Silurana) tropicalis (western clawed frog) tRNA". It matches the Rfam family "tRNA". Rfam says of the family: Transfer RNA (tRNA) molecules are approximately 80 nucleotides in length. Their secondary structure includes four short double-helical elements and three loops (D, anti-codon, and T loops). Lineage: Eukaryota; Metazoa; Chordata; Amphibia; Anura; Pipidae. The record is from Rfam by way of RNAcentral.